GCGGGCCUGGCCGAGCGGUUUAGGCAUCUGCCUUCCAAGCCGAGUACAUGGGUUCGAUUCCCAUGGCUAGCUCCA
RNAcentral lists this transfer RNA (75 nucleotides) under Acinetobacter baumannii. RNAcentral's name for it is "tRNA-Gly(tcc)". It matches the Rfam family "tRNA". Rfam says of the family: Transfer RNA (tRNA) molecules are approximately 80 nucleotides in length. Their secondary structure includes four short double-helical elements and three loops (D, anti-codon, and T loops). Further hydrogen bonds mediate the characteristic L-shaped molecular structure. tRNAs have two regions of fundamental functional importance: the anti-codon, which is responsible for specific mRNA codon recognition, and the 3' end, to which the tRNAs corresponding amino acid is attached (by aminoacyl-tRNA synthetases). tRNAs cope with the degeneracy of the genetic code in two manners: having more than one tRNA (with a specific anti-codon) for a particular amino acid; and 'wobble' base-pairing, i.e. permitting non-standard base-pairing at the 3rd anti-codon position. Lineage: Bacteria; Pseudomonadati; Pseudomonadota; Gammaproteobacteria; Moraxellales; Moraxellaceae. The record is from RNAcentral.